UACGAAGGGGGCUAGCGUUGUUCGGAAUUACUGGGCGUAAAGCGUGCGCAGGCGGCUUCUCAAGUCAGGGGUGAAAGCCCAGAGCUCAACUCUGGAAUUGCCUUUGAGACUGAGUGGCUUGAGUACGAGAGAGGUGAGUGGAAUUCCCAGUGUAGAGGUGAAAUUCGUAGAUAUUGGGAAGAACACCGGUGGCGAAGGCGGGUCUCUGGGCCGAUACUGACGCUGAGGAGCGAAAGCGUGGGGAGCGAACAGG
Molecule: ribosomal RNA, 253 nt
Filed under: uncultured bacterium
Lineage: Bacteria
Description: partial 16S ribosomal RNA
Rfam family: Bacterial small subunit ribosomal RNA
Source: RNAcentral